RNAcentral lists this ribosomal RNA (253 nucleotides) under uncultured bacterium. RNAcentral describes it as "partial 16S ribosomal RNA". It matches the Rfam family "Bacterial small subunit ribosomal RNA", at positions 524 to 776 of the family's 1533-position model. The record is from RNAcentral.
UACGGAGGGUGCAAGCGUUGUCCGGAUUUAUUGGGUUUAAAGGGUGCGUAGGCGGCCUUUUAAGUCAGCGGUGAAAGCCCGGGGCUCAACCCCGGAACCGCCGUUGAUACUGGAAGGCUUGAGUAUGGACGAGGUUGGCGGAAUUGAGGGUGUAGCGGUGAAAUGCUUAGAUACCCUCAAGAACACCGAUUGCGUAGGCAGCUAACUAGGCCAUAACUGACGCUGAGGCACGAAAGCGUGGGGAGCGAACAGG